RNAcentral lists this ribosomal RNA (253 nucleotides) under uncultured bacterium. RNAcentral's name for it is "partial 16S ribosomal RNA". It matches the Rfam family "Bacterial small subunit ribosomal RNA", at positions 524 to 776 of the family's 1533-position model. The record is from RNAcentral.
UACGGAGGGUGCGAGCGUUGUCCGGAAUCACUGGGCGUAAAGGGCGCGUAGGUGGCGGAUCAAGUCAACGGUGAAAGCUCGGCGCUCAACGCCGAGUCGGCCGUCGAUACUGGCUCGCUCGAGCACUGUAGAGGCAGAUGGAAUUCCGGGUGUAGCGGUGGAAUGCGUAGAGAUCCGGAAGAACACCGGUGGCGAAGGCGGUCUGCUGGGCAGUUGCUGACACUGAGGCGCGACAGCGUGGGGAGCAAACAGG